CGAUGAACCACUUCGGUGGGGAUUAGUGGCGAACGGGUGAGUAACACGUGGGCAAUCUGCCCUUCACUCUGGGACAAGCCCUGGAAACGGGGUCUAAUACCGGAUACCACUACCGCAGGCAUCUGUGGUGGUUGAAAGCUCCGGCGGUGAAGGAUGAGCCCGCGGCCUAUCAGCUUGUUGGUGAGGUAAUGGCUCACCAAGGCGACGACGGGUAGCCGGCCUGAGAGGGCGACCGGCCACACUGGGACUGAGACACGGCCCAGACUCCUACGGGAGGCAGCAGUGGGGAAUAUUGCACAAUGGGCGAAAGCCUGAUGCAGCGACGCCGCGUGAGGGAUGACGGCCUUCGGGUUGUAAACCUCUUUCAGCAGGGAAGAAGCGAAAGUGACGGUACCUGCAGAAGAAGCGCCGGCUAACUACGUGCCAGCAGCCGCGGUAAUACGUAGGGCGCAAGCGUUGUCCGGAAUUAUUGGGCGUAAAGAGCUCGUAGGCGGCUUGUCACGUCGGGUGUGAAAGCCCGGGGCUUAACCCCGGGUCUGCAUUCGAUACGGGCUAGCUAGAGUGUGGUAGGGGAGAUCGGAAUUCCUGGUGUAGCGGUGAAAUGCGCAGAUAUCAGGAGGAACACCGGUGGCGAAGGCGGAUCUCUGGGCCAUUACUGACGCUGAGGAGCGAAAGCGUGGGGAGCGAACAGGAUUAGAUACACUGGUAGUCCACGCCGUAAACGGUGGGAACUAGGUGUUGGCGACAUUCCACGUCGUCGGUGCCGCAGCUAACGCAUUAAGUUCCCCGCCUGGGGAGUACGGCCGCAAGGCUAAAACUCAAAGGAAUU
This 829-nucleotide ribosomal RNA is filed under the name Streptomyces sp. MZ0468C. RNAcentral describes it as "bacterial SSU rRNA". It matches the Rfam family "Bacterial small subunit ribosomal RNA", at positions 67 to 911 of the family's 1533-position model. The record is from RNAcentral. Lineage: Bacteria; Bacillati; Actinomycetota; Actinomycetes; Kitasatosporales; Streptomycetaceae.